GACGAACCGAGCGAACGUUAUUCGGAAUUACUGGGCUUAAAGAGUUCGUAGGCGGCGCAGAAAGUAGGGUGUGAAAGCCCUCGGCUUAACCGAGGAAUUGCGCUCUAAACUACUGUGCUUGAGGAACCUAGAGGUGAGCAGAACUGAUGGUGGAGCGGUGAAAUGCGUUGAUAUCCUUAGGAACACCGGUGGCGAAAGCGGCUCACUGGGUCUCUUCUGACGCUGAGGCACGAAAGCUAGGGGAGCAAACGGG
Molecule: ribosomal RNA, 253 nt
Filed under: uncultured bacterium
Lineage: Bacteria
Description: partial 16S ribosomal RNA
Rfam family: Bacterial small subunit ribosomal RNA
Source: RNAcentral